AGCAUGUGACUUGAGGCAAAAUCCAAAAAAAUGCAAGCAUCAAGAAGAGCAAGAGAAUUCAUCACAGGCUGUUUAUAUACAACGGCAUCCAGAAUUUUUGCAUGAUUAAGAUAGCACUCCAUUUCUCAUCAAAUCACUGACAUUUUAGGGUUAUGAUAAUGUUAUUUGGAGCAGAUGGUGCUUUCUGAUGGCUUGUCUGAUUUUGGCAGUGAUCAAAUGCCAUUGCCAUUGAUUUUAGUUCUACCUGACGCACGUAUUGAGGUUGCUGCAGCCCUCAAACUAAUUGGCACCUGUGUUGAUAUCAGACCAAGGGCAUUGCUAUUGACAGAAUUUUACAGUAGGAUACUGUUUCAUUUGUAUUGUCCUUUUUUUUAACUUGCUAAAUACUAUUGGGAUACAGUGAAGAAAUCCAAGCAGUACAAUCAGUACCAGGCAAUGGAGUUAAUAGCAAUGGCUGCAAAAUGGACAAGGAACACACAGAUAGUGAUCAUGAUAUCAAAUAUUCUGAUACUGAUAUGGUGCAGAAAUACUGUCAUUUGUGAAACUGGUUGAUACCAUUGUGGACUUACUGGUAUUUCAAAAAAUAAAAAUGUUCCCAUUCUACCAAUGGUAGCUUCAUGCCCUUGUAGCUGUCCUUAUGCUACCAUAGUCCCUUAGGACAGAACUAGAAUGAGUGUGAAAGUUUUUUGCAUGAUAUAUGCAAGUACACAAUUGUAUCAGAAAUGGGUUAGGGUUCGGGUUAUAUCAUGCAAACAGAUGUACACAUUAAUGGGCCGGUGUAAGGAUAAGUGCAAAGUGAUUUGCAGCUGCAAAACACCCGUAUUGUGGCCAAAAUCUGUGUUUUGCACGUGCAGAAUGGGUUGGCUGUUGUUGAGUACAGGCAGGAAAACCUUCAGAAAAGACGGAGACGACCCCAUAUAUUCAAACCCAGGGUCAGAUUGUUUGGGAUGCUGGAGGAUAUAGUGGUAAGGCGUUACCAUCUCACUCCGCAGGUCACCCUAGACCUAAGAGCUGGAUUGACUUUCUCCACUAUAGAGGACCAUAUGGCCUCUUUGGUAGCAUAACUGAUGUUGGCUGAGGCUUUUCCAAAUAACUCAGUUUCAUGCUGAGUGACCUCAGCCAUAAGGACUCUCAGUGCCUCCUCAGAAAUCUUUUCCGUGCAUCAAGAGGACUUUGCUGCCCUUCCUGUGACAUAUAUGUUUUUUGGUUGGUUAGAUUAUCAUGCUCCACAAAUCUCACACAGCGCCUGCUGCUCUCUGUACUCCUAACUCCCCUCACCUCUGGGCUAUAAGUGCAGCCGCUAAAUAGCCCAAUGCACAGGCGGAGCUUAUUGCAACCCUCAUAAUCAUGAUUGCAUUAUUUGUGUGUGUUUAGUAAUUUGCAUUGCUCUUAAGCUUACAUAAGCCGCAGUGCAAAAUAAUUGCCUAGCCACUAGGCAAUUUGGAUUUUGCUGACGCAAUUGUUUGCACUACGCCUAUCAAUACAUCAGGCCCUAAGUACAUUGCAACUAUGCAUAGUAACAUUGUAAUAGUGGAAAUACACCUGUAUUUACUAAGUAACUAUUAAUGAAUACACAGUAAUUAGAGAGACUUAAUGUAACGUGUUAAUGUAAAAGAAUACUGUAGAAAUAACAGUAACAGCAGUUCUUUCUAUAGCCACCCUUUCUCCUCCCAACUCUUCACACAGUGAGAAUUUUAUCUCACACCAUGCCUGAGCAGUGACAGGCACUCAGCUGGAGCAAUUCAACAGAAGGCAAUCACUGCCGUUGCCCUUUAGGGAAGCCAGGUGAAUCUAGAUAAUGUGCGAGACCAGCCAAGAGGGGGCUACAGAACAGCCUUUAAAAUUAAGGAAGGAGUCGAUAUAUUUCUAUAAUCAUUUGGGGAUUGAAUCCCGCCACCCUGUGACAGGAACAAAGGAAGGUAGGCAGUCCAAAUGGAUUAGAGAUGUAAUCAUCAGCUAUCUAAGUACACAGUACUUAGAGACACUUAAUGUAAAGUGUUACCCCCCAAAAAAAUUAUAUUCAUAUUUGUCUUUGUGCACAAGUUCCUUUCCCCACAAGCUCCCUAUGAACUGAGCAUUGUGGGUAGUUUCUGAAAAAGAAAACAUUUGUGUUUUGUUUACUUUUUCAGUCUCGGAGCAACACAUUUCACAAAUCUAUUUUCUUUAAAUUGUUAUUGGCAGCCGUUACAAUUGUAAAACAAAUAAGAAACAACUUAAGAGCACUUACAGGCCACUAAACUAAAUGUCUGAGGUGUUUAUUGCUUGUUUUGUCAUUUGUAUGUGUGUUUUCACUUCUAACAAUGUUAGCGGCUGGUUUCACAUACCCUCAUUAGCACUAAUCUUGGUUUACUCAAUGUUAAUUGGGUAAAGUAAUCCAAGAUUAGAGCUAAGUGGUCUAACAAUUAAGGUUUUAGUUGAAAGUGCAUGGAUAUAGUUCUAUGCAAAGAAACACUGGGAUAACCAUGGAUAGACAGUUGAUUCAAUCAAGUGUGAUGCUCUAUUUUAUUUUUGCCACUUUUUUAGAUGGGUGCACUAUCAUCUUGAAAGUAACAAUGGCCACCACGGUACAACUGCAGCAUUGCUGGGUGGACUUCCACAGCAAUGCUUAAGUAAACUAAGUCAGAUUUAUCAUAUGACAGGCAACUUAAUUUGCAUCUGUUAUUCAGACAGAUGCUAAUAAACCAGCCAGACAGUGUAUGUUGUUUUCAUUAACAUACUCCAUCCUUAGAGUUGGCCCUUCUGUUUGAAGAUUGCCUUGCAAGACACCAACAUUUCUAAUUGUUUUUAAUUAUGUUUUACAAGGGAAGUAUAAUAUUGAUGCAUGCAAAAAUUAAUUCCUAUUCCCAAAGAUAGCCAAACUACACAAGAUGUUCAAACAGCAAACCGUUUAAAUCAAUGUGCAAUUGACAUUUUCAAUGCACAACACUAUAGAAUGGCAAGAAAUUGUAAUGAUCACAAAAAAAAAAAAACUUAAGUUUGUCAAAAGUUCUCCAGUCUAGGGGUAAAAUCUUCAAUUAUGCGUUAUGUAUCUUAAUUUAUGUUUUUGUGUUUUAGUACUGCAUCAAGCCUUACUUAAACAGUCUCAGUGGAAUACUCAGAAAGGGCACCAUCCAGUAUUACACAAGGCUAUGAAAGAGAACACAAGCCAUUCAAUGAUAUAAAGUACAUACACAAUCCUUUUAUAAAGUCUUACCUCUCUCGUCUUAAAAUCUAAAACUGCUAAAUCUUAAUCCAAGUUCAAACACAAUUUCAGGUGUAAUUACUAUAUCUGACAUACCUAUAGGAAGCUCAAAGCUAUGGACUGAGACAAUUCUCGAAAUUUAACUAAUGUAGUGCCAAACGUUUUUCAUCUUUACCCCUGUUUUUCUACCUGAUUUUAGUGUUCACUCAGCGCAGCAAUUGCCCACAACAGCUCAAGAGAACCGAAGGUCGGUGGACGUCCUCCAAUCACAUGACCAAGCCCAUUGCCUCUUAAUACCCAGGACAUCGGCUACAGAUGUUGGAAUUAAUAAAAGAAUGCCGUUAAUGAUUUGAAAAUGUGCUCCUAAGGUUGUACAACAGCAAGACCAAGGAAACAGCAUUUACAAUGGUACCUGACGCUCCUGGGAUCACCUGCCUGCUGUGUGUGAUUGCCAGCUGUGGAUGAUCAGCGGGUAGGUGUGUUCCAGCACAGCGUCAGGUAUAAAGAGGUCCUGUUUGUUCACCUCGGGGCUGCUGCAAAGCCACGGACAACGGGCUGAAGAUCGUCCACGCUACCCGAGCAUAGUGAGAGAAAUAAGUUGCUGAAAUCCUCCGAUCGCCGUGAUGGUGAACCGGGAUCGGAGCCAAAAGAAACUGCCAAAACCACCGACAGCCGGAGUCGGGGUUUGUGUUGAUACAUAAAGAUUAGUUCGGGGAUGGUAGAUCCCUUUAAAGUAUAGCGAGGUGAGCAAGCGGGACCUCCAUGCAUUAGGGAGUAGCGCACGCCGUUUUUACGGCACCUUUUAUUUUAUAGUUUUUUGUAUUGUGUUUUAUUUUGUUUUUCGUACGCUGGCCGUAUGCACUCAGUGAGCUACCAUGGUUGGUAGUGUCACGUGAGCUGUUGUGUGUAUGUGUGUAAAUAAAUCCUGCGCGCCUGCGGGGCGUGUCAAUUUCAACCUGUCUGGUCUCCUGCCUAUCACUCAGCAGCGAAUGCACGCACCCACAAGCAAGAACCCUUUCACAGGAACCAACACUUUCAGUGCUGCAGAAGAAGCAGUGCUGUAUUCAUCGGAGCACUCACACCUCAAUGUUUCCUGUGGCAUUUCACUGAACUUGGUUCUGAGGGAGCUGUCUGAUGAAAUGUCAAUGAGAUCUUCUAACAGCUUUGAUGGGACAGAGUGUGGCAGUUUAGAUUCAAUAUUCUCACUAAUGGGGUUUGUAGCCCGUAGGUGUGUAGC
Acipenser ruthenus (sterlet) is the source of this 4418-nucleotide long non-coding RNA. RefSeq lists it as uncharacterized. NCBI's taxonomy places the organism in Eukaryota, Metazoa, Chordata, Actinopteri, Acipenseriformes, Acipenseridae. The transcript is spliced from 3 exons. The record is from RefSeq and is a predicted model, not a curated record.